Molecule: ribosomal RNA, 730 nt
Filed under: uncultured bacterium
Lineage: Bacteria
Description: bacterial SSU rRNA
Rfam family: Bacterial small subunit ribosomal RNA
Source: RNAcentral
AACAGGAUUAGAUACCCUGGUAGUCCACGCCGUAAACGAUGUCGACUUGGAGGUUGUGCCCUUGAGGCGUGGCUUCCGGAGCUAACGCGUUAAGUCGACCGCCUGGGGAGUACGGCCGCAAGGUUAAAACUCAAAUGAAUUGACGGGGGCCCGCACAAGCGGUGGAGCAUGUGGUUUAAUUCGAUGCAACGCGAAGAACCUUACCUACUCUUGACAUCCAGAGAACUUAGCAGAGAUGCUUUGGUGCCUUCGGGAACUCUGAGACAGGUGCUGCAUGGCUGUCGUCAGCUCGUGUUGUGAAAUGUUGGGUUAAGUCCCGCAACGAGCGCAACCCUUAUCCUUUGUUGCCAGCGGUUAGGCCGGGAACUCAAAGGAGACUGCCAGUGAUGAGCUGGAGGAAGGUGGGGAUGACGUCAAGUCAUCAUGGCCCUUACGAGUAGGGCUACACACGUGCUACAAUGGCAUAUACAAAGAGAAGCGACCUCGCGAGAGCAAGCGGACCUCAUAAAGUAUGUCGUAGUCCGGAUUGGAGUCUGCAACUCGGCUCCAUGAAGUCGGAAUCGCUAGUAAUCGUGGAUCAGAAUGCCACGGUGAAUACGUUCCCGGGCCUUGUACACACCGCCCGUCACACCAUGGGAGUGGGUUGCAAAAGAAGUAGGUAGCUUAACCUUCGGGAGGGCGCUUACCACUUUGUGAUUCAUGACUGGGGUGAAGUCGUAACAAGGUAACC